RNAcentral lists this long non-coding RNA (328 nucleotides) under Lathyrus oleraceus (garden pea). RNAcentral's name for it is "Pisum sativum (pea) long non-coding RNA (PSAT_LNC036256)". Lineage: Eukaryota; Viridiplantae; Streptophyta; Magnoliopsida; Fabales; Fabaceae. The record is from RNAcentral.
UCGACUCAAGUGACUGCAGGGAAUCAUUUUCUGGUCCAAUCACGCAACAUAAACACAAAAGUAAAGCAAACAACAUUCAAAAGGAAAUCAACAUGGGUACCGAUUGAAAUCGACGAUUAUGAAAGGGGCGGCGCGACUGUGUGAGCUCAAUGAAGGUUGAGCGUGAAAAGGGCAUGGUUUGCCUCAGUGUUUGUUGUUGUGUGGUUCGAUAUUGAGUCGGAUAUGAGCGGAGGAGAUGUGUUUGAGGUGUUGAAGAGGCAGAGUAAGGUUGGAUGAGAGGUGUAUUAUGGAGGUAUCGGUAAGAGAAGAACAGAAGUGUAUGUUGCAG